GAUGAACGCUGGCGGCGCGCCUAAUACAUGCAAGUCGAGCGAACAGACGAGGAGCUUGCUCCUCUGACGUUAGCGGCGGACGGGUGAGUAACACGUGGAUAACCUACCUAUAAGACUGGGAUAACUUCGGGAAACCGGAGCUAAUACCGGAUAAUAUAUUGAACCGCAUGGUUCAAUAGUGAAAGACGGUUUUGCUGUCACUUAUAGAUGGAUCCGCGCCGCAUUAGCUAGUUGGUAAGGUAACGGCUUACCAAGGCGACGAUGCGUAGCCGACCUGAGAGGGUGAUCGGCCACACUGGAACUGAGACACGGUCCAGACUCCUACGGGAGGCAGCAGUAGGGAAUCUUCCGCAAUGGGCGAAAGCCUGACGGAGCAACGCCGCGUGAGUGAUGAAGGUCUUCGGAUCGUAAAACUCUGUUAUUAGGGAAGAACAAAUGUGUAAGUAACUAUGCACGUCUUGACGGUACCUAAUCAGAAAGCCACGGCUAACUACGU
This 496-nucleotide ribosomal RNA is filed under the name uncultured bacterium. Its description in RNAcentral is "partial 16S ribosomal RNA". It matches the Rfam family "Bacterial small subunit ribosomal RNA", at positions 28 to 506 of the family's 1533-position model. The record is from RNAcentral.